RNAcentral lists this ribosomal RNA (450 nucleotides) under uncultured bacterium. Its description in RNAcentral is "partial 16S ribosomal RNA". It matches the Rfam family "Bacterial small subunit ribosomal RNA", at positions 354 to 796 of the family's 1533-position model. The record is from RNAcentral.
GUGGGGAAUAUUGGACAAUGGGCGAAAGCCUGAUCCAGCCAUGCCGCGUGUGUGAAGAAGGUCUUCGGAUUGUAAAGCACUUUAAGUUGGGAGGAAGGGCAGUAAGUUAAUACCUUGCUGUUUUGACGUUACCGACAGAAUAAGCACCGGCUAACUUCGUGCCAGCAGCCGCGGUAAUACGAAGGGUGCAAGCGUUAAUCGGAAUUACUGGGCGUAAAGCGCGCGUAGGUGGUUUUGUAAGUUGGAGGUGAAAUCCCCGGGCUCAACCUGGGAACUGCCUCCAAAACUGCGUGACUAGAGUACGGUAGAGGGUAGUGGAAUUUCCUGUGUAGCGGUGAAAUGCGUAGAUAUAGGAAGGAACACCAGUGGCGAAGGCGACUACCUGGACUGAUACUGACACUGAGGUGCGAAAGCGUGGGGAGCAAACAGGAUUAGAAACCCGUGUAGUCC